GACGAACGCUGGCGGCGUGCUUAACACAUGCAAGUCGAGCGGAAAGGCCACUUCGGUGGUACUCGAGCGGCGAACGGGUGAGUAACACGUGAGUAAUCUGCCCCUGGCUUUGGGAUAGCCACCGGAAACGGUGAUUAAUACCGGAUACGACCACUUCUCGCAUGGGAUGGUGGUGGAAAGUUUUUUCGGCCAGGGAUGUGCUCGCGGCCUAUCAGCUUGAUGGUGAGGUAAUGGCUCACCAUGGCUUCGACGGGUAGCCGGCCUGAGAGGGUGACCGGUCACACUGGGACUGAGACACGGCCCAGACUCCUACGGGAGGCAGCGGUGGGGAAUAUUGGACAAUGGGCGGAAGCCUGAUCCAGCAACGCCGCGUGAGGGAUGACGGCCUUCGGGUUGUAGACCUCUUUCAGCAGGGACGAAGCGCAAGUGACGGUACCUACAGAAGAAGCACCGGCCAACUACGUGCCAGCCGCCGCGGUAA
RNAcentral lists this ribosomal RNA (481 nucleotides) under uncultured bacterium. RNAcentral describes it as "partial 16S ribosomal RNA". It matches the Rfam family "Bacterial small subunit ribosomal RNA", at positions 28 to 523 of the family's 1533-position model. The record is from RNAcentral.